Molecule: non-coding RNA, 46 nt
Filed under: Schistosoma curassoni
Lineage: Eukaryota; Metazoa; Platyhelminthes; Trematoda; Strigeidida; Schistosomatidae
Source: RNAcentral
GCACUGCUGAGGAGUCCUAAAAUAGGACGAGACGGCCGUCCAGUGC